Molecule: non-coding RNA, 2402 nt
Organism: Macaca mulatta (Rhesus monkey)
Lineage: Eukaryota; Metazoa; Chordata; Mammalia; Primates; Cercopithecidae
Source: RefSeq, a predicted model, not a curated record
CUUAUAUUACCAAUAUUUUCAUAAACAUAUAUUUUGAUAAAGUACUGAGUCACCACUUUAUAUCCACAAAGGCAAAUAACUAAUGUAUGAGAAUAGAAUAAUUUUUACUAAUUAUUGUAAAUUCUCCUACUCUUUAAAUGAGUAAGAGGUCCAAUUUCAUGAAAGAUUGAAAAUAAAUUGAAUAUCUAGUAUAAUAUAGGAGAGGUUGACCAAGGAAGAAUUGUAGCUUGGUACCAAGGUUAAAAUGACAUUUCUCUAUUGCCUAUUGUUUAUGUUAAAUUUGAUUUCUUUUUCUUUAAUUAUAUUUUUAACAUUGCUGAUAGAAAAUAUGUUCCUGUGUUUCACAUGAAAAAGCAUAUAUAUACAAGUUAAGUAUAUUGAGUAAAACAUUUUACAAAGUCAUGCAUUUACAAAUUUUUGAGAGGUUAGCUACUAAAAUUAAUUUCACAAGGGAAAGCCUUCGUUCUACAAUAUACAGUUUUUCUUCUUAGUUUUGAAUUAGAAGUGGCAUCUGUUUUAGUUCUGAAAAUAUAACUUGGCUGUUUCGCACUGCGUCUGAAUAUUGUUUUCUGUAGGAGCGGGAUAGAUAAUUAUAUAUAGUAUCAUAAUAUUCUUUGUAUCCACAUGCCAAAUGGGAGUAAUAUUUAUUUAAUACUCUUAGAUGCCUUAUGUUACCCAAACAUACAGUAAAAACGUAGAAAUUUAGGCACUUGUUCUUCAAGUCAACCCCUUGGGUCUCUUCCAGAUGUACUUCCUUUCUUUUCUGCUCUAAAGCCUUUUUAAAUAAACCUCCACUCCUGCUCUGAAAAAAAGUAAAAAUUUAUGAAAUAUUUUCUGAUAAAAAGUUUAUUUUCUGCUUACCAUAGGGAAUGCGUUCACAAUAGUGUAUCUUUCCUUUUGUUGGAGUUGGAAUUUCUUCUGUUAUCAGCACUUAAUUAGUCAUGGCAAGUCCUACUUUUAAGACCUUUAGAGAUUAGACAACUUUCCAUUUCAUUAAGUCUUUUGUUCAUUCUAAAAGUUCCCCCUUUACUUAGUUCAGAGGAAAUCGGUUAUCUUACAAGGGAGGUGAUCAUCUUUAGGAGGCAGUUUUACUAAGCUACCUUGGUACUUGAACGGUAGCAAGUGCUGCACUUUGUCAACACUCUGGGUCAAAGUAUAGGCUAGAGAUAAGGGUACUGGCAGACUUAGGGAUGCUGGAUAGACCUGUAGUUCUUUUAAAAUCAUGUUUUCAAGGGAAUUUCCACAAUAAUCCACUCAUGUGCAUUGAUCAGACCAAAAAACUCUCCAAAUAAAAAUCAUGAGUGGAUUUAAAAUGUUUAGAUGAUUCAAUUUCUGUUCCAUUACUAUUGAACUAUAUGAACUAUUACAUUACUUCAGAUAUUUAAGUAUCAACUUUAGUAAGCUCUUUUUGUUAUUGUUUAAAGAAGGUUGCCCAUGGAUCUUUGCCUAAUGUUAAAGCUGAUCUUGCUUUUAUCCUCCUUUGAAAUCCUUUCUAGCACUGGGGUGCUUUGAGGGUGAUUGGAUUAGACUUUGGGAUAUCAUUUCUCAGACUUAGACUUAACAGUUUUUAGAAAUUAAAUAAACUUUCAUUUUUUAAAAAAAGAAAAGAAAUUCUUCUAUGCAUUCUGCUACCUAUAUGAACAAUACAUUUGUUACUAUGGUACUGAAGUCAGUAGAUUGGAAACCAGUUAUUCCUCCUCCCUUUAAAAAUUUUGAAAAUGUGUUAACAAGUGACUGAAACUGUUACCUUGAACAGAGUCUCCAAAACCAGUCUAGAUUUUGCCAAAUGUUUACUUUGUGUUUAAUUCCAGAAGAUUUCUCAAGCUCUGCAAUCUAGGGGUGGUAACUGUGUUUCCAUUAUGCUUGGAGUAAGGUCAGGAGAAUGUGCAUUCUAAGUAAGAGGAACGAUUUCUCUUACCCUUGGACUCCCUAUCACUUGAAGAUUUUACCUCCCCGCAAACACAUAAAACAAAUAGAAAAUAUAUUAACUAGUCCAUCUAAGUUGGCUUCCAAUAGGCUCCAGGUCCCUACCAAUGUGCCUUUCUACUAUGUGAAACCGAGGGACCAAGUCCUGCUGAAAAGCUGGAAAUCCCACCAGGCUGAAGAUCAACGGUGACCACAACUGACCACCCACUCAUCUGACAAGGUAUUUUCCUGAUCCAUUCAUGGGACUCACUACAGGGGUGCCUCGUUUACCCAGCCCGCAGCUUUCAACUCCUUGUGGGAGAGAGCAUGUGAGAGAAUGAGGCAGGAACUGGAGUCUAUGAGUGCUGGAACCAGCUGGCUGCUUCUGCACUGGCAGAAGUGAACUCCAUUCACUCAGACCCACUGCACUCCACCCCUCACAGGAGGCAGCAUGCAGGGUUUUGCUCUGUUGCCCAGGAUAGAGUUCAGUGGCCCAA